RNAcentral lists this transfer RNA (20 nucleotides) under Hepatica maxima. Its description in RNAcentral is "Anemone maxima partial transfer RNA-Phe". The record is from RNAcentral. Lineage: Eukaryota; Viridiplantae; Streptophyta; Magnoliopsida; Ranunculales; Ranunculaceae.
GUCGGGAUAGCUCAGUGAUA